Molecule: ribosomal RNA, 506 nt
Filed under: uncultured bacterium
Lineage: Bacteria
Description: partial 16S ribosomal RNA
Rfam family: Bacterial small subunit ribosomal RNA
Source: RNAcentral
GACGAGCGCUGGCGGCGUGCUUAACACAUGCAAGUCGAACGGUGAAGGGACUGGUUUUGCUGGUCCUGGAUGAGUGGCGAACGGGUGAGUAACACGUGAGUAACCUGCCCCCUUCUUCUGGAUAACCGCAUGAAAGUGUGGCUAAUACGGGAUAUUCUGGGUCUGUCGCAUGGUGGGCCUGGGAAAGAUUGCGCCUUUUUUGGUGUUUUUGGUGGGGGAUGGGCUCGCGGCCUAUCAGCUUGUUGGUGGGGUGAUGGCCUACCAAGGCGGUGACGGGUAGCCGGCCUGAGAGGGUGGACGGUCACACUGGGACUGAGACACGGCCCAGACUCCUACGGGAGGCAGCAGUGGGGAAUAUUGCACGAUGGGCGCAAGCCUGAUGCAGCGACGCCGCGUGAGGGAUGGAGGCCUUCGGGUUGUGAACCUCUUUCGCCAGUGAAGCAGGCCUGCCUCUUUUUGUGGGUGGGUUGACGGUAGCUGGAUAAGAAGCGCCGGCUAACUACGUG